UAAGCGGUUGAAGGUGUGUGGUAACGCAUGCUGGACGUAUCAGAAGUGCGAAUGCUGACAUGAGUAACGAUAAAGGGGGUGAAAAACCUCCUCGCCGGAAGACCAAGGGUUCCUGUCCAACGUUAAUCGGGGCAGGGUAAGUCGACCCCUAAGGCGAGGCCGAAAGGCGUAGUCGAUGGGAAACGGGUUAAUAUUCCCGUACUUCUUACAAUUGCGAUGGGGGGACGGAGAAGGCUAGGUGGGCCUGGCGACGGUUGUCCAGGUUCAAGUGCGUAGGCUUAAGAGUUAGGUAAAUCCGGCUCUUUCUAAGGCUGAGACACGACGUCGAGCACCUACGGGUGUGAAGUCAUUGAUGCCAUGCUUCCAGGAAAAGCCUCUAA
This 380-nucleotide ribosomal RNA is filed under the name Vibrio parahaemolyticus. RNAcentral's name for it is "partial 23S ribosomal RNA". It matches the Rfam family "Bacterial large subunit ribosomal RNA", at positions 1243 to 1624 of the family's 2925-position model. Lineage: Bacteria; Pseudomonadati; Pseudomonadota; Gammaproteobacteria; Vibrionales; Vibrionaceae. The record is from RNAcentral.